This 257-nucleotide long non-coding RNA is filed under the name Panax ginseng (ginseng). RNAcentral describes it as "long non-coding RNA (PGIN_LNC009847)". The record is from RNAcentral. Lineage: Eukaryota; Viridiplantae; Streptophyta; Magnoliopsida; Apiales; Araliaceae.
UUGACUAUUAUGUAGGAAUCAAGUAACAAAUCCAAAGCAGGGGUGAGCCCAUUUUUCUGCUUAGCAGUGUUGUUACUAUUUAAUUAUCGCACUACACAAAACCUUUUCAUCAUUGUCUUUAAUUUACACCAACUCAUUACCAAAAACUUACUACGAUUAUUGGUACGUCACAACUGUAGACCAUUCUUCAUGUCUCCAACAGAAAAGGCAGCAGCUUCUGAUGUAAGCUAAUCGAUACACCAUAAUCAUCCACCCUG